This 537-nucleotide long non-coding RNA is filed under the name Pan troglodytes (chimpanzee). RNAcentral's name for it is "long non-coding RNA NONPTRT003393". The record is from RNAcentral. Lineage: Eukaryota; Metazoa; Chordata; Mammalia; Primates; Hominidae.
AAGUUGGCUUUUUUGAAGAAUAAAUAAGAUUGAUUGACUGCCAGCUAGACUAAUAAAGAAAAAGAAUAUGCAAAUAACACAAUCAGAAAUGACAAAGGUGGUAUUACCAUGACCUGUCAGAAAUACCAAAAAUCCUCAGAGAUAUUUGUGAACACUUCUAUGCAUACAAACUACAAAACCUAGAAAAAAAUGAACAAAUUCUUGGAAACACACAACCUUGAAAGAUAGAACCAGGAAGAAACCAAGAAAAGGUGAUGCUUAUACACUGCUGGUGGGAAUGUAAGUUAGUUCAGCCACUGUGGAAAGCAGUUUGGAGAUUUCUCAAAGAGCUAAAAACAGAAAUACUAUUUCACCCAGCAAUCCCAUUACUGGGUAUAUACCCAAAGGAAUAUAAAUCGUUCCACUAUAAAGACACAUGCAUGCAUACGUUCAUCGCAGCAGUAUUUACAAAUACUGUAUGUUUUCACUUGUAAGUGGGAGCUAUACAUUGAGUACACAUGGACACAAAGAGGGGAAUAAUAGACACCAGGGCCUACU